UCAAUGGAAACGUCUCGCUGUUAAGCUCAACGUCAGAUUCUACUGAACUUUUGUACUUGUAAUGCUUACGGGGAAAAUAAUUUGUCUUGAUCUAUAUAUUGUGUUUAGAUUUUUCUAAUUCUUGGGAAAGCUAGAUUCUACAUUCAUUCUACAUUCAUUUUUCUCCUUUAACAAGUGAAAAAUUAAGAACAGACUGAUUCCUGUAUGUGUAUGGUGGGGUAAUCAAGUACAAAAGAUUGCUCUAAUUGUUGUGGUGUUUAACGUUGCUACCCUAAGUAUCGAAUACUCUUUAGAAUAAAACUCUGGUCAGCUCCUUAAGCUCUUUGCUGCAGUAUGUGCUUCUCUGUCAGAGUGAGGUAGUAGAUUGUAUAGUUGUAGGGUAGUUAUUUUACCCUGUUCAGGAGAUAACUAUACAAUCUAUUGCCUUCCCUGAGGAGUAAAACAAACCGCGGUCCUUUGCAGUCAUUCCUGUCCCCAUUGAGUAAAAACAGAUCUGCCAGAGAAAUUCAGGGCUCUAAAGCAUCAGAUUAAUCAGUGACAGAAUUUGCAGGAUUCAAAUCGGUGUGAAUGGUGCAACCCCCAAAUGAUAUAUUUGACUAAUGCGACUUUUCUUUCAAGGUGAGCAGCAGAGUGCUGACGGGAUAAGGAGAAGGCAUGUGUUCCUAGAUUUAGUGUGGAAUACCCCCGAGAGAAAAAAAAUAAUUAUAAAAGAAUUUGGGUUUGAAUGUAAAAAUACAGGUAGCUCAAACUUACACAUUGUGACCUAACAAUUUCUAUAAUGCAUUAAAAUUCUAUCACUCUAACCACUUAGUAAAAGUUGGAGGAACAACUUACAAUUACGUUUUACUAAUAAAUCUGCUUAUUUGUCUUUAGUUCUUCUCUGAAGUGAGACUUAAACAACCUAAUACAAAAUUAAAGUUGAAUGGCCAAAACUGACCCCUCACCUUUUUGGGGGAAGUAUAAAGCUAUGAAGUUUGAGCACCCAAGAUCCAGAAGUGUAAUUCUUCCUCUUCACUGGUUACUGUUUUUACAUAAAAAGAUAUUUUUUAAGCUUAGAAUCAUAUAAUUGCCUAGGUUAGCUUAUUAUGUUCUAUUUACUCCUGGUGUCCUAGGAGUACCCCAUCUAACUGCUUCUACACCAGUGUGACCAUCUUGCUGUAGUAAUAAAGAAAAGCAUGAAAAUACUUUAUGGGAGUGAAAGUUUAGUGUAGUAGGCGAGAGUGAAAGUGGAGCCGUCAGUAUUUGAACCCGGAGCAUUAGAACUGGUUCCCCACUAACCAGGCAGGGGUAACAGCCUGUGCUUGCAGUGUUCCCAGGCCUAAAGAAGACCAAAAGCAGCUGAUAAACUAAAGUGACUUCGCAGAGCAGCUGCUGGGCGAGAAGAGCGGCACAGAGGAAGCGCUGGGCUCCUAGGAAGAGGUAGUAGGUUGCAUAGUUUUAGGGCAGGGAUUUUGCUCGCAAGGAGGUAACUAUACAACCUGCUGCCUUUCUUAGGGCUUUAUUAUAACACCGGGACCAUUUGGGCUCCAUCCUCUGCAGCUUUGGUACCUGAAGAGAAAUGACAAGCUGUUUGUAAACAUAACUGAGGCUUAAUGAAAUGGGUGUAUUGGGAGACUCGGUACCAAACUGGAGUGUAGCUGGAAUUGAGCGUGGUGAAACGCUGCAUUUGAGGCCUGUGUGCCACAUUGGUGAGAGGUUGUGUUUGGAGGGCAGCUCCUUCGAGAGUAAGAUUGAGUUCCCUGUGACAAGGAUGGAGAUGGUACACACUUCUUAAUGUUCAGUUGGGGUACUAAUACUCAAACAGGUAGCUAAAAUACACCUUCCUUUAGCUCUGUGCAUUUUAAGUGGAAAAAAUAAAAAAGUUUUCCUUCCCCAGAAGGAUCGGCUUCAGCUCACCUGGAAGCUGGUGGUUUCUCAACAGGUACAGGCACUCCCAAUACACCAGGCUCUCCAUCAUGGAUUAUUCUCAGUCUUGCAGGAGGGAAGUUUUCAGUCAGGUAAAACGAAUGAUUGCACUUCUGUCUCUUAUGGAAUUGUAUGUUAAAGAGUAGUCCAUAAUUGUUUUAUGUAAUUACACUGCGCUACAGCAAUAGUUGUGGUAGGGCUCCACGCGGACACCUGACACUAUGCAAUAUGGAGACUUUAUUUUAACUGCUGAGCAUCUUCUGUUUUAGCAUUAAUGUGUUUCCUUACAGCAGGCGCUAUUAAAAAUUUUGACGUCAAGACAGAAUAAUAGAUAUGAUGAACAUGUUAAUUCUUCCAGUGAACGGACUCUUUCUCCAAAAUAAGGAAGUGAAUUUUGCAGGAGAACAGUGCCCACGUUACUGAAAUAAAGUCAAGGCCACAUUCUAAAAAUUAUAGUGUUAACUAGAAUUAGUGUUAACCAAUUAUUCUAGUGUUAACUCAGACUUACUCUAACAUUAA
Molecule: long non-coding RNA, 2424 nt
Organism: Calidris pugnax (ruff)
Lineage: Eukaryota; Metazoa; Chordata; Aves; Charadriiformes; Scolopacidae
Exons: 2
Source: RefSeq, a predicted model, not a curated record